Molecule: unclassified non-coding RNA, 503 nt
Filed under: Homo sapiens (human)
Lineage: Eukaryota; Metazoa; Chordata; Mammalia; Primates; Hominidae
Description: MUC20 overlapping transcript (ENSG00000281603.2)
Source: RNAcentral
AACCUUUGCUGUCUUGGGACGGAUCACCGCUGCAAGAGGGGAAGUUGCUACUGUGAUGAAUUCUGCCAUGUGGCACCAGACUGCCACCCAGACCACAGUGUCCUCUGCAACCCUGGUAACUCACAUACAGGCCCGAUUCCACCUACAGCAAAGCUGGAUGCGAUGGCUGGCAGAGGCAAACCCUUUGCCUGCACUUCAGGCCAAAGCCGGGAUGUGGCCUAGAUGGUUCCUAAGCUUCUCAGAUGACCAAGAUGGUGCUGCAGAUGGUGCUGAGGAUGGAGAACCCACCAAGCCCCGCUAGGAGCCACCUAGACUGGAUGCAGAGCAUGGUUCAGCGAGUUCUCCAAACCAGCCUCCCAGGAAUGCCAUUCACCAUGGCUGUGAGGAGAAUAAAGAAGAGAGCCUGACUCCUCUCCUGAGGCCCCUUCCCCACCCUGAGCCAGCAGGAUCCACGGAGCAGAGGUCAUCUGUCCCCAGCUUGGCCCACUGAGGCCAGCAUGGCU